Molecule: RNA transcript, 959 nt
Organism: Lepus europaeus (European hare)
Lineage: Eukaryota; Metazoa; Chordata; Mammalia; Lagomorpha; Leporidae
Gene: IZUMO4
Gene name: IZUMO family member 4
Exons: 9
Source: RefSeq, a predicted model, not a curated record
GGCGGCGGGCGGGGGCGGGCCAUGGCCUUGCUGCUGUGCCUGGGCAUGACGGCGGCGCUGGCCGGCGGCUGCCUGCACUGCCACGGGAACUUCUCGGAGAAGUUCUCCUUCUACCGCAACCACGUGAACCUCAAGUCCUGGUGGGUGGGCGACAUCCCCGUGUCGGGCGCGCUGCUCACCGACUGGAGCCGGGACACGAUGAAGGAGCUGCGCCUGGCCAUCCCCGCCGAGAUCACCCGGGCGAAGCUGGACCAAGUGGCGACAGCGGUGUACCAGAGGAUGGAUCAGCUGUACCAGGGGAAGAUGUACUUCCCGGGGUAUUUCCCCAGCGAGCUGCGGGCCAUCUUCCGGGAGCAGGUGCACCUCCUGCAGAACGCCAUCAUCGAGAGCCGCAUCGACUGUCAGCGCCACUGUGGCAUCUUCCAGUACGAGACGGUCUCCUGCGGCAACUGCACCGACUCGCACGUCGUCUGCUUCGGCUACAACUGCGAGUCCUCGGCGCAGUGGGAGACGGCGGUGAAGGGGCUCCUUGCCUACCUAAAUAACUGGCACAAGUAAGUCCCCCUCCCCCGCCCACGGCGGUGAGUACCGGGCCCCCGGGCACCGUGGGGGUCGGAGGGCCUGGCUGGAGGGUCCCUGUGGUGUCCGUUCCUGCCCCGAGCUGUGGGCAGAGCCCCAGUGGCCAGGCCCUAGGGCCACGGAGGCACAGCCUCAGCCCCAUAGGCUGGGGUCUGACCUGGGCCCCGUGGUCUUUCAGCCAGGACAUAAACACGAGAACCACCCCAGCCUUCCUGGUGUCACCGAGCCUCCCGUGCCUGGAGCCCCAGCACCUGGCCAACCUGACCCUGGAGAACGCCUCCAAGUGCCUGACCCAGCACUGACGGCCGGGCCCUGCCGGCCCGCGCCUGCUCCUGCUGCAGGCUCGCUGCGGCCCCCGCCCCGGCCCCGGCCCCGGCCCC